UACGUACUCCCUCCAUCCGGAAAUAUUUGUCAUCAAAAUGGAUAAAAGGGAAUGUAUGUAGAUUAUUUUAUUUUUAAAUACAUCUCUUUUUAUCUAUUUUGAUGACAAGUAUUUUCGAACGGAGGGAGUACGUG
Triticum aestivum (bread wheat) is the source of this 134-nucleotide non-coding RNA. NCBI's taxonomy places the organism in Eukaryota, Viridiplantae, Streptophyta, Magnoliopsida, Poales, Poaceae. The record is from Rfam.